CCAAUAGCGUAUAUUAAAGUUGUUGCAGUUAAAAAGCUCGUAGUUGAAUUUCGGAAUCUGUCCGUUGGUCGGGCUUCAUUGUCCGUACUGGUGUGAUGGGUUCUUACCUUCUGAAUAACCAGCAUGCCAUUCACUUGGUGCGCUGGGGAAGCAGGAUUAUUACCUUGAAAAAAUUAGAGUGCUCAAAGCAGGCUAGCGCCUGAAUACAUUAGCAUGGAAUAAUAAAAUAGGACGGCAUGGUUCUAUUUUGUUGGUUUCUAGGAUCACCGUAAUGAUUAAUAGGGAUAGUUGGGGGCAUUAGUAUUCAAUUGUCAGAGGUGAAAUUCUUGGAUUUAUUGAAGACUAACUUCUGCGAAAGCAUUUGCCAAGGAUGUUUUCAUUAAUCAAGAACGAAAGUUAGGGGAUCGAAGACGAUCAGAUACCGUCGUAGUCUUAACCAUAAACUAUGCCGACUAGGGAUCGGACGAUGUUAAUUUUUUAAUGACUCGUUCGGCGCCUUACG
Molecule: unclassified non-coding RNA, 502 nt
Filed under: uncultured Acaulospora
Lineage: Eukaryota; Fungi; Glomeromycota; Glomeromycetes; Diversisporales; Acaulosporaceae
Description: SSU rRNA
Rfam family: Eukaryotic small subunit ribosomal RNA
Source: RNAcentral